GGGCCGGUAGCUCAGCUUGGUAGAGCACCUGACUUUUAAUCAGGUGGUCGCGAGUUCGAAUCUCGUCCGGCCCA
RNAcentral lists this transfer RNA (74 nucleotides) under archaeon GW2011_AR15. RNAcentral's name for it is "tRNA-Lys". It matches the Rfam family "tRNA". Rfam says of the family: Transfer RNA (tRNA) molecules are approximately 80 nucleotides in length. Their secondary structure includes four short double-helical elements and three loops (D, anti-codon, and T loops). The record is from RNAcentral. RNAcentral also lists the same sequence under 1 other name.